This 73-nucleotide transfer RNA is filed under the name Fasciola gigantica. It matches the Rfam family "tRNA". Rfam says of the family: Transfer RNA (tRNA) molecules are approximately 80 nucleotides in length. Their secondary structure includes four short double-helical elements and three loops (D, anti-codon, and T loops). Lineage: Eukaryota; Metazoa; Platyhelminthes; Trematoda; Plagiorchiida; Fasciolidae. The record is from Rfam by way of RNAcentral.
ACCACAAUGGCUUAGCUGGUGGAGCAUCUGUCCAGUAAGCGGAAAGUCGCCGGUCUGAUUCCGGCUUAUGGCG